UCAAAACGACUCUCGGCAACGGAUAUCUCGGCUCUCGCAUCGAUGAAGAACGUAGCGAAAUGCGAUACUUGGUGUGAAUUGCAGAAUCCCGUGAACCAUCGAGUCUUUGAACGCAAGUUGCGCCCGAAGCCAUACGGCCGAGGGCACGUCUGCCUGGGUGUCACACACG
This 169-nucleotide ribosomal RNA is filed under the name Broussonetia papyrifera (paper mulberry). RNAcentral's name for it is "5.8S ribosomal RNA". It matches the Rfam family "5.8S ribosomal RNA". From Rfam's summary of the family: 5.8S ribosomal RNA (5.8S rRNA) is a component of the large subunit of the eukaryotic ribosome. It is transcribed by RNA polymerase I as part of the 45S precursor that also contains 18S and 28S rRNA. Functionally, it is thought that 5.8S rRNA may be involved in ribosome translocation. The record is from RNAcentral. Lineage: Eukaryota; Viridiplantae; Streptophyta; Magnoliopsida; Rosales; Moraceae.